This 498-nucleotide ribosomal RNA is filed under the name uncultured bacterium. RNAcentral's name for it is "partial 16S ribosomal RNA". It matches the Rfam family "Bacterial small subunit ribosomal RNA", at positions 28 to 508 of the family's 1533-position model. The record is from RNAcentral.
GAUGAACGCUGGCGGCGUGCCUAAUACAUGCAAGUCGAGCGAACAGACGAGGAGCUUGCUCCUCUGACGUUAGCGGCGGACGGGUGAGUAACACGUGGAUAACCUACCUAUAAGACUGGGAUAACUUCGGGAAACCGGAGCUAAUACCGGAUAAUAUAUUGAACCGCAUGGUUCAAUAGUGAAAGACGGUUUUGCUGUCACUUAUAGAUGGAUCCGCGCCGCAUUAGCUAGUUGGUAAGGUAACGGCUUACCAAGGCGACGAUGCGUAGCCGACCUGAGAGGGUGAUCGGCCACACUGGAACUGAGACACGGUCCAGACUCCUACGGGAGGCAGCAGUAGGGAAUCUUCCGCAAUGGGCGAAAGCCUGACGGAGCAACGCCGCGUGAGUGAUGAAGGUCUUCGGAUCGUAAAACUCUGUUAUUAGGGAAGAACAAAUGUGUAAGUAACUAGGCACGUCUUGACGGUACCUAAUCAGAAAGCCACGGCUAACUACGUGC